UACGGAGGGUGCGAGCGUUGUCCGGAAUCACUGGGCGUAAAGGGCGCGUAGGCGGUUCGUUAAGUUGCUGGUGAAAUCCCGGGGCUCAACUCCGGGGCUGCCGGCAAGACUGGCGGGCUAGAGCACGGUAGAGGCGGAUGGAAUUCCCGGUGUAGCGGUGGAAUGCGUAGAUAUCGGGAAGAAGACCGGUGGCGAAGGCGUUCCGCUGGGCCGUUGCUGACGCUGAGGCGCGACAGCGUGGGGAGCAAACAGG
This 253-nucleotide ribosomal RNA is filed under the name uncultured bacterium. RNAcentral describes it as "partial 16S ribosomal RNA". It matches the Rfam family "Bacterial small subunit ribosomal RNA", at positions 524 to 776 of the family's 1533-position model. The record is from RNAcentral.